This 336-nucleotide long non-coding RNA is filed under the name Gossypium barbadense (sea-island cotton). RNAcentral's name for it is "long non-coding RNA (GBAR_LNC001393)". The record is from RNAcentral. Lineage: Eukaryota; Viridiplantae; Streptophyta; Magnoliopsida; Malvales; Malvaceae.
GAAAGAUUACAUGUUUUGAUGAGAAUAGAGCAUCAUAUUUCCCAUCCUUUUCUUGAGUUAACAACUACGAUAUAGAAACUGGUAUAAUAUGACCACUUUUGGUUUCAUCAGUCCUUGAAUAGAAGUUAUCAAAGUAACGUUUCUUCUUGGAGAUCUUUGGAUGUCAUUUGUAUUCCUGGGAAGGAAACAACAUAAAGUAGUUUAUAACCAGCUAACCCACUUCUCCCUUGCCCAUAAACAGCAUAAAGAAGAUUAAAUGGUAUCAUGACACUAUAUUUUCUGACAAAGAAUUUAUAAAUGGCUAAACCAAGUAAAUCAAUAUCAUGAACAGAGAUU